Molecule: transfer RNA, 64 nt
Filed under: bovine gut metagenome
Rfam family: tRNA
About the family: Transfer RNA (tRNA) molecules are approximately 80 nucleotides in length. Their secondary structure includes four short double-helical elements and three loops (D, anti-codon, and T loops). Further hydrogen bonds mediate the characteristic L-shaped molecular structure. tRNAs have two regions of fundamental functional importance: the anti-codon, which is responsible for specific mRNA codon recognition, and the 3' end, to which the tRNAs corresponding amino acid is attached (by aminoacyl-tRNA synthetases). tRNAs cope with the degeneracy of the genetic code in two manners: having more than one tRNA (with a specific anti-codon) for a particular amino acid; and 'wobble' base-pairing, i.e. permitting non-standard base-pairing at the 3rd anti-codon position.
Source: RNAcentral
CCAUAAUUUAAUGGUAGAAUGUUAGCUUCCCAAGCUGAAUGUACGGGUUCGAUUCCCGCUGGAU